GUCUUUAACAACUUCCUUUGUUUGCUUGUGUUGAAUAAUUUUGGUGUUUGUAUUUACAGAUCAUUCUCGAUUGUUUGGCUCGCCUCACUCACAGCUGCAGGGGAUAUGCCUAAUUUACAGUGCAGGCCUGCAUGUACCAGGAGUUGAUUGUGUGGGAGUUGCAGACUGUGCCUGACAUCAUGAUCUCGAUGCAAGGAAGUAAAUGUAACUUGAAUUGUUUCUGUAUCCAGGCUGUGAAUGGAGUGUCAUUUUAUGUAGUGAACUUAAUUAAAUGUGUGUGAAACACUGAAGGGGGAGAUGGAGCAACUACUCAUGUAAUGUGACUUUCUGCCAACAUUCAAAAGUACACACAUAGCAGGUAGCAAAAUGUAAUCUCAGGUGAACAAAGUCGAUGGCUUCAAGGAUGAUUUUCUAUGUUCGUGUUAAUAAAUAAUGAUUUGUA
Plectropomus leopardus (leopard coralgrouper) is the source of this 442-nucleotide non-coding RNA. The record is from RefSeq and is a predicted model, not a curated record. NCBI's taxonomy places the organism in Eukaryota, Metazoa, Chordata, Actinopteri, Perciformes, Serranidae.